GUGCUUGCUUCAGCAGCACAUACACUAAAACUGGAACAGUACAGAGAUUAGCAUGGCCCCCGUGCAAAUUCGGGAAAUGUUCAAUAAAAGAAAAAGUUGAACCUUUU
Small nuclear RNA from Acomys russatus (golden spiny mouse), 107 nucleotides. Lineage: Eukaryota; Metazoa; Chordata; Mammalia; Rodentia; Muridae. The record is from RefSeq and is a predicted model, not a curated record.